This 266-nucleotide ribosomal RNA is filed under the name Clostridioides difficile. RNAcentral describes it as "partial 16S ribosomal RNA". It matches the Rfam family "Bacterial small subunit ribosomal RNA", at positions 1 to 274 of the family's 1533-position model. Lineage: Bacteria; Bacillati; Bacillota; Clostridia; Peptostreptococcales; Peptostreptococcaceae. The record is from RNAcentral.
UUUUAUUUGAGAGUUUGAUCCUGGCUCAGGAUGAACGCUGGCGGCGUGCCUAACACAUGCAAGUUGAGCGAUUUACUUCGGUAAAGAGCGGCGGACGGGUGAGUAACGCGUGGGUAACCUACCCUGUACACACGGAUAACAUACCGAAAGGUAUGCUAAUACGGGAUAAUAUAUUUGAGAGGCAUCUCUUGAAUAUCAAAGGUGAGCCAGUACAGGAUGGACCCGCGUCUGAUUAGCUAGUUGGUAAGGUAACGGCUUACCAAGGC